CGCGCUGCAGCUGAUGACAGCACUGCUGCUGAGCCUCUGAUUGCUUAGUUUCAAAGGACACGCCCCGAUGGACCGUGG
Molecule: small nucleolar RNA, 78 nt
Filed under: Phocoena sinus (vaquita)
Lineage: Eukaryota; Metazoa; Chordata; Mammalia; Artiodactyla; Phocoenidae
Description: Small nucleolar RNA U105B (ENSPSNG00000019851.1)
Rfam family: Small nucleolar RNA U105B
Source: Rfam by way of RNAcentral